UCCUACGGGGGGCAGCAGUGGGGGAUAUUGCACAAUGGGGGAAACCCUGAUGCAGCGACGCCGCGUGAGUGAAGAAGUAUUUCGGUACGUAAAGCUCUAUCAGCAGGGAAGAAUAAUGACGGUACCUGACUAAGAAGCCCCGGCUAACUGCGUGCCAGCAGCCGCGGUAAUACGUAGGGGGCAAGCGUUGUCCGGAUUUACUGGGUGUAAAGGGCGUGCAGCCGGGAAGACAAGUCAGAUGUGAAAUCCCGCGGCUCAACCGCGGAACUGCAUUUGAAACUGUUUUUCUUGAGUAUCGGAGAGGU
Molecule: ribosomal RNA, 305 nt
Filed under: uncultured bacterium
Lineage: Bacteria
Description: bacterial SSU rRNA
Rfam family: Bacterial small subunit ribosomal RNA
Source: RNAcentral